This is a long non-coding RNA of Megalobrama amblycephala (Wuchang bream), 464 nucleotides long. RefSeq lists it as uncharacterized. The transcript is spliced from 4 exons. Lineage: Eukaryota; Metazoa; Chordata; Actinopteri; Cypriniformes; Xenocyprididae. The record is from RefSeq and is a predicted model, not a curated record.
UGUACGUACCUUUAAAAAAAAAAUGAAAAUAUAAAAAAAACUUUGCUGGAUUUACAUUGCUGAUGACGGUUGAAACGCAUCAUCACAGUCUGUGAAAAGGUCAAUUUAUUUGUGUUCUGUAGCUUUCAAUAAAAAUUAAAUAACAACAAAGUAUAUAUUUCUGCUGUUUGCCAAAGGCAGUAUAUUGUACAUUUAGUAAGAAAUGUGUUCAGCAUUAUGCGUCAAAAAAAAAAAAAAAAAAAAAAAAUAUUGCGCCAUUUUGUGAUGGCUUAGUUGGCAGUCUUUUUCUAGGAGUGCUGGAGUGCGCUGCAGCGGGCUAAGUUACAACUGCGAUCCUGAAUAGCUGGCAGGUGUUCUUCUACCAUUCAGAAGCCAUGGGGUCGUGUCAGGGCGCCGGUCCUUCGUCUCAGCUGGAUACGGCCCGGAUCCGGUUGAAUACGAGGCUCUUAAGAACAACCCCCUGA